This 459-nucleotide ribosomal RNA is filed under the name uncultured bacterium. RNAcentral describes it as "partial 16S ribosomal RNA". It matches the Rfam family "Bacterial small subunit ribosomal RNA", at positions 338 to 795 of the family's 1533-position model. The record is from RNAcentral.
CCUACGGGGGGCAGCAGUGAGGAAUAUUGGUCAAUGGCCGCAGGGCUGAACCAGCCAAGUCGCGUGAGGGAUGACGGUCCUAUGGAUUGUAAACCUCUUUUGUCAGGGAGCAAAGGGCGCCACGUGUGGCGCUUUGCGAGUACCUGAAGAAAAAGCAUCGGCUAACUCCGUGCCAGCAGCCGCGGUAAUACGGAGGAUGCGAGCGUUAUCCGGAUUUAUUGGGUUUAAAGGGUGCGCAGGCGGAAUGUGAAGUCAGCGGUAAAAUUUCGGGGCUCAACCCCGUCGUGCCGUUGAAACUGGCGUUCUUGAGUGAGCGAGAAGUAUGCGGAAUGCGUGGUGUAGCGGUGAAAUGCAUAGAUAUCACGCAGAACUCCGAUUGCGAAGGCAGCAUACCGGCGCUCAACUGACGCUCAUGCACGAAAGCGUGGGUAUCGAACAGGAUUAGAGACCCCAGUAGUC